Molecule: ribosomal RNA, 253 nt
Filed under: uncultured Allobaculum sp.
Lineage: Bacteria; Bacillati; Bacillota; Erysipelotrichia; Erysipelotrichales; Erysipelotrichaceae
Description: partial 16S ribosomal RNA
Rfam family: Bacterial small subunit ribosomal RNA
Source: RNAcentral
UACGUAGGUGGCGAGCGUUAUCCGGAAUGAUUGGGCGUAAAGGGUGCGCAGGCGGUCCUGCAAGUCUGGAGUGAAACGUAUGAGCUCAACUCAUGCAUGGCUCUGGAAACUGGAGGACUGGAGAGCAGGAGAGGGCGGUGGAACUCCAUGUGUAGCGGUAAAAUGCGUAGAUAUAUGGAAGAACACCAGUGGCGAAGGCGACUUACUGGACUGUAACUGACGCUGAGGCAUGAGAGCAUGGGGAGCAAACAGG